CUCUGUAUCUUAACUCUAUCUGCUAUUAUAAGCACUAUGCCGGCUGUGUGUCUGCCUUUGAGCACAGGUGAGAACUCGUUCGAUGCCCAGCUGUGAGAGCGGAAAGCGGCGCUGGAAACAUCCCGGGCGGACGCUCACUCUUCCCAGGUAAAUUCCCGGGUUGAACCUAACGCUCCCAGCACCUCAACUCCGCGUGUCUCUCUGCCCAGGUCCAGCGCACCUACAACACGGCCCGCCCAGGUAUUGUUCACUCCGGCACCGGUGCACCACGGACCCUGGAUGCUGCAGCAGCGGAAGACACGAGCCAAGCCCCGGUCGAGGACGUCUCCCCCGCCACCACCACCGGCCUUCGAGAUCUCGACCGAGAACCGCUUCGCCCCUCUCCGCGAGCCAAAACGUCAUACUGUGAUUCUUGGAGAUUCCAUCGUCCGGCAUGUCCACGCUACCGGAGACAAAGUAUUGGGUGACCUACGUUCCUGUGGUGGUGAACAUGACUGCGAGUUCUCCAGAAGAACAAAUGCUGCAACAUCCAUCUACCAAGAGGAAGAGGAAAACGAUCGUUGUCCGAGAUCCUAACCAGGACAGCAAGGACAUCAUGGAGGAGAUCAUAUCAGAAGCUGGCAGGAGUCGGAAGCCCACUCUGCCAGUGGGAAAUGUCUUUUCCGUCCCUAUGCCUCUGCAGCGUUAUGGGUUAGUCAAAGAAACCUAAAAAUGAGCAUCAGAAAAUAAAAAGCCUCGGUCUCCACACACGCAGUAAUACCGGAAGUAUGCAGUGGGAUCGAAUUUCGGGGGACGACGGCGGAACUGGAAGAACGGCUGCGAUGGAGAAACUAGCGCUAGAGCCACAUCCGGAGCAUCAGUAAAACUGGACGCAGUGCCAGACUCGACUACAAACAAGCCUGCGCUAUCAGAGGAGGAAAUGGAGAAACGCUCCAUACACAUUGGUUAUUAUCUUGUUACUGCGUCACAUAAUCGUGGUGGGUUCGUGUGCAGGAGGCCUCGCAUUGCGUGGAGGAACUGGACCAGGGCGGGAUGCUGUACGUUGUUGUUCGGAGCCAAAAGGAAGUGGAGGUCUUAUGGAGGACUCUAAACUGAGCUGGGCUGAUUUUCUUCCUGAAACCGUGGAUGGGAACAACUUCAUUACUGAGCAGCCCUGAUGAAGUCUGAUGAUCUGAAGAGGGUGGAACUGAGACUUCAGACAGCAGACGGACUUCUGAGGAGGAACAUCAGCACCACACGAGAGGUGAGAACUCGUUCGAUGCCCAGCUGCGAGAGCGAAAAGCGGCGCUGGAAACAUCCCGGGCGGACGCUCACUCAUCACAUGUAAAUUCCCGGGUUGAACCUAACGCUCCCAGCACCUCAACUCCGCGUGUUUCUCUGCCCAGGUCCAGCGCACCUAC
Silurus meridionalis is the source of this 1400-nucleotide RNA transcript. It is a transcript of the gene named eukaryotic translation initiation factor 4 gamma 3-like, with no coding region annotated. The record is from RefSeq and is a predicted model, not a curated record. NCBI's taxonomy places the organism in Eukaryota, Metazoa, Chordata, Actinopteri, Siluriformes, Siluridae. The transcript has 9 exons.